GCAUAGCUACAACCACUCAGAACAGGUUGAAGCACGAGUCAGACUAGAGCUGGCCCGCCUGGGAUGGUGAGUCUAAGUAUAAGG
Molecule: small RNA, 84 nt
Filed under: Leuconostoc carnosum
Lineage: Bacteria; Bacillati; Bacillota; Bacilli; Lactobacillales; Lactobacillaceae
Source: RNAcentral